GACGAACGCUGGCGGCGUGCCUAAUACAUGCAAGUAGGACGCACAGUUUAUACCGUAGCUUGCUACACCAUAGACUGUGAGUUGCGAACGGGUGAGUAACGCGUAGGUAACCUGCCUGGUAGCGGGGGAUAACUAUUGGAAACGAUAGCUAAUACCGCAUAAUAUUAAUUAUUGCAUGAUAAUUAAUUGAAAGGUGCAAUUGCACCACUACCAGAUGGACCUGCGUUGUAUUAGCUAGUAGGUGAGGUAACGGCUCACCUAGGCGACGAUACAUAGCCGACCUGGGAGGGGGAUCGGCCACACUGGGACUGAGACACGGCCCAGACUCCUACGGGAGGCAGCAGUAGGGAAUCUUCGGCAAUGGACGAAAGUCUGACCGAGCAACGCCGCGUGAGUGAAGAAGGUUUUCGGAUCGUAAAGCUCUGUUGUAAGAGAAGAACGGGUGUGAGAGUGGAAAGUUCACACUGUGACGGUAUCUUACCAGAAAGAGACGGCUAACUACGUG
RNAcentral lists this ribosomal RNA (505 nucleotides) under uncultured bacterium. Its description in RNAcentral is "partial 16S ribosomal RNA". It matches the Rfam family "Bacterial small subunit ribosomal RNA", at positions 28 to 507 of the family's 1533-position model. The record is from RNAcentral.